RNAcentral lists this ribosomal RNA (621 nucleotides) under Erysiphe trifoliorum. RNAcentral's name for it is "partial large subunit ribosomal RNA". It matches the Rfam family "Eukaryotic large subunit ribosomal RNA", at positions 33 to 664 of the family's 3401-position model. The record is from RNAcentral. Lineage: Eukaryota; Fungi; Ascomycota; Leotiomycetes; Helotiales; Erysiphaceae.
CUUAAGCAUAUCAAUAAGCGGAGGAAAAGAAACCAACCGGGAUUACCUCAGUAACGGCGAGUGAAGCGGUACCAGCUCAAAUUUGAAAUCUGGCUCCUCUGGAGUCCGAGUUGUAAUUUGUAGAAGAUGCUUUGGGUUGUGGGUUCGGCCUAAGUUCCUUGGAACAGGACGUCAUAGAGGGUGAGAAUCCCGUAUGUGGCCGAGGCCCGCGCCUAUGUAAAGCUCUUUCAACGAGUCGAGUUGUUUGGGAAUGCAGCUCAAAAUGGGUGGUAAAUUUCAUCUAAAGCUAAAUAUGGGCCAGAGACCGAUAGCGCACAAGUAGAGUGAUCGAAAGAUGAAAAGCACUUUGGAAAGAGAGUUAAACAGUACGUGAAAUUGUUGAAAGGGAAGCGCUUGCACCCAGACUUGGGCGCUGCUGAUCACCUUGCGGUCUCCGCGAGUGCACUCGACAGCGCACAGGCCAGCAUCGGUUCGGGUGGCUGGAUAAAGGCCGUAGGAACGUAGCUCCCUUCGGGGAGUGUUAUAGCCUACGGUGCCAUGCAGCCCAGCCGGACCGAGGACCGCGCCUUCGGGCUAGGAUGCUGGCGUAAUGGGUGUAAGCGACCCGUCUUGAAAAGGAAA